UCAGAGGAGAAUUUCUUUUGCAUCUAUAAGCGAAUCUCCUUGGUAACCGAGCAGCCACGCACCGACUUGUCCUUCAAACUACGAGGACUGCAGGGUGGUGGAGAAGAGGAUCGAGGACUUCACUGAGUCACUCUAGAUCUUGCCCAAGUCCAAGAGGCUGGAUAGGACCCCUAAGAAGUCUGGGGACAAGAACCCCCUCCUCUGCAUCCCGUUUGAGAAGGAGGACAUCAUGGGACUGGACACAGACAGCAGGGCCCUGUGAUCUACACGCCCGC
This is a non-coding RNA of Vicugna pacos (alpaca), 275 nucleotides long. The record is from RefSeq and is a predicted model, not a curated record. NCBI's taxonomy places the organism in Eukaryota, Metazoa, Chordata, Mammalia, Artiodactyla, Camelidae.